AAUUGCAUCUAAACCAUACGCCGUAUCGCCGAAACCCUCCCCCAAAACCAUAAAGCGAGUGAAUAGCAUCGAAGUUGGGGGCAACUGGAGGACAGAGGCGCUUGUUUGCGAAAUAAAUGAACAAACUGCCGCAGUUCCCAUUCCAGUUUGCCGAGUUCGCUGUUUACCAAACGGCAGAGUGCAGAGAGUGCUGUUUGCAUUGGCUGAUGAGCCCUAACCUACGACAACAGGCCAAAAUUAUAUGGCUGAAUUGACUCCACUUGAACCGUGACGCGAACGAGGCAAAGCUAUCGAAAAAUAAAGUUCAAAACAAAACCUGGUUAUAAUAAAAAAUAUGAAAGUCAGUUACAAUAAAAACGGAAAAUCUACUCCAGCUGGAGCGUUAAUUCGUGCAGAGUCGUGCAGUGCCACGCUCGACCCGACUAGUGGUUGUUGGACACGAGGAAGCGGACCAAGAAGUGUAACAGGAGGCUAUAAUGCAACAAAAAUAAACUGCCUAUUGAAGAUAUUGGCGCCAUCGCGCCUUUUGGUGAUGAUGAUGGAAUACGGAACAAUCGAACCAGAGCGACAGGUUGGUUGAACCAACUGGCGUCGAGCGGAUCAGCUGUCGAAGCGGCGCAACUAGCGGUGUGCGCCAUUUUUCGCGCGACGCAAACAGUCGUCUCCAUCGCCCGGGAAGUAGGUCACUGUCGUCGCGCCAUUGAAAUGCCGGUGUGUUGUGUGUGCUGUUCGAUGCGGCUGCUGCUGUGUCUGGCGGCACGGCACGAUGUGAGUGGUGGUAAGUGAAUUGAAUUAGCCGACCGUGGCUAAUAGCUAACAAAUGACACUAUCGUGAUGAAGAAGAGGAGGUUACCAUCCAGAGGGCGAUGGUGGUGAUGGCCACCGGUAUUAUCGUCGUGAUGACGAACGCCCUCCGCACUCACAGGAGUGUGUGCGAUGGUGUGCCGGUGGCGGUGCUGUCUGGACGGAUUGCAUCGCAUGCACGGUGGGACAAUGGAUGACCAUGAAAGCGGUUAAAUUCAUCUUUGUCGCGCCGGCCGCGGUAUUAGAAGCAAUGGAAGCGAAACCGAACCAUUGAGUCUAGGAUAUCAAUAGCUUGCAUUUACGUGCCGUACUGUUUGCUUCCGUGAAAUUGUCCCAUCUGACAAAGCGGAACCGAUACGGGAAGAGAAAAAAAGAUGUUCAGUAAAAGUGCUUAUACUCUACCUGUUAUCUUUUUUUCACACUUCAAGAAAAACAGAAAAAAAUAAUAAAGCUAUUAUAAUUUCAAUGAA
This is a long non-coding RNA of Anopheles arabiensis, 1274 nucleotides long. RefSeq lists it as uncharacterized. Lineage: Eukaryota; Metazoa; Arthropoda; Insecta; Diptera; Culicidae. The record is from RefSeq and is a predicted model, not a curated record. The transcript is spliced from 2 exons.